RNAcentral lists this long non-coding RNA (471 nucleotides) under Brassica napus (rape). RNAcentral describes it as "long non-coding RNA (BNAP_LNC025823)". Lineage: Eukaryota; Viridiplantae; Streptophyta; Magnoliopsida; Brassicales; Brassicaceae. The record is from RNAcentral.
UUAGUUUAAUAUUACACGAUAUUAUAUACUAUUUUCAGAUUUUGAUAAUUGGGUUUAUGGUUGAUAAUUAGGGUUUAUACUUGGUUUUAGUAUUUUAAAGUUUGGUUUGGAUUUAGUAUUUAAAAGUUGUGUAUUGGGUUGAUAUUGAAUGUAUUCUUUAUUGAAAAGUCUUAUAUAUUAUCUAUUCAUUUUACCGUCAUUCAGUCACGUGAUUAUAGUUUAUAUUUGGAUUAGGGUUUAAGAAUUAUGAUUUAGUGUUCAGUAUUUAGGAGUUUGAAUAAUGUUUAGUAUUUAAGGAUUAUAGAUGUUGUUUUAGUCCUUCUAUACUACUUCGUGUGAUAAGGAAUAUAACACUCAGUGCAUACAUAUGUGGUCAAUAAAUAUGUAACUUGGAUGUCUCUUUUUUUUCCACUCCUGGCCAUAUAUUAUUUGCUAUAAUACUAGCCAUAUUUUUCUUUGUUUACGUCAUCU